RNAcentral lists this long non-coding RNA (1101 nucleotides) under Phascolarctos cinereus (koala). Its description in RNAcentral is "lncRNA (ENSPCIG00000031994.1)". The record is from RNAcentral. Lineage: Eukaryota; Metazoa; Chordata; Mammalia; Diprotodontia; Phascolarctidae.
AUGUUUCUCUCCCUGACUUUUCUCUCCCAGUGUCUCUCACCUCUCUCCUCCCCUCUGGUUCUCUCACUUCCCUCUCCUCUCCCCUCCCCUCUCUUUUCCUCAAUUCCCUCUCCUCUCUCUUCUGUCUCUCUCAUUUCUCUCCUCCUCUCCUUCUCUCUCCCUCACUUCUCUCCCUCCUUCCCUUUCUAUCCCCUACUUCUUUCUCUCCUCCCUAUCUCCCUCACUUCUCUCUCUUCCCAUCUUUUUCCAUCACUUCUCUCUCCUUCCCUCUCUCUCCCUCCCUUCUCUCUCCUUCACUUCUCUGUCCUCCAAUCUCUCUCCUUCACUUCCCUCUCCUCCCAUCUCUCUCCCUCACUUCUCUCCUCCAAUCUCUCUCCCCCACUUAUCUCUCUCAUCUCCCUCACUUCUCUCUUCCCAUCUUUCUCCAUCACUUCUCUCUCCUUCCCUCUCUCUCCCUCACUUCUCUCUCCUCCAAUCUCUGUCUCACUUCCCUCUCCUCCCAUCUCUCUCCCUCACUUCUCUCUCUUCCAGUCUCCCUCACUUCUCUCUCCCCUUCCCUAUCCCUCACUUCUCUCUCUCCCUCCCUCAUUUUUCUCUCUCCCCCCUCUCCCUCAUUUCUCUCCUUCCCUCUCUCUCCCUCACUUCUCUCUCCUUCCUUCUCUCUCUCUCACUUCUCUCUCUCCUCCCCAUGUCCCUCACUUCUCUCUCUCCUCCCCUCUCUCUUCCACACUUCUCUCUCCUUCCCUUUCUAUCCCUCACUUCUAUCUCUCUCACUUCUCUCUCCUUCCCCCUCUCUCCCACACUCCUCUCUCCUUCCCUCUCUAUCCCUCACUUCUCUCUCUCCUUCCCUAUCCCUCACUUCUCUCUCCUUCCCUCUCUAUCCCUCACUUGUCUCUCUCCUUCCCUAUCCCUCACUUCUCUCUCCUUCCCUCUCUAUCCCUCACUUCUCUCUCUCUUCCCCUCUGUCUCUCUCCCUCAUGUCUUUCUUUUCCUCUUUUCUCCCCCUUCCUCUUCUCUACUGCCUGUGCCUCAGAUACUACCACCAUGUACUCUUUAUCACUCAGUCCCCAGGAAAAGUGGAAGCUUGCCUUAACUCAUUAG